CCAAUCGUAAGGCUUCAUCUGUGGCUUUAAAAUGACCCGUUCUCUCUUCCUGUUUUCUUCCUUUUUCCAAGGUACGUAUUUUGAGAUAACAAGGGAGUAAAGGAGGGAAAAAAUUGAGCUCUGGGGGGCAGCAUGAGCCAAUUAUAAUGGUGCCACUAUAAACAGUUGCCUGCGCCAUGACGGGCUCGGGGCCGACCAUCAGGUCCAGAUGGAUAGUCUACCGGCGCCAUAGCCCACAUGAAAAAAAUAAAUAAAUAAAUAAAUAAAAUAAAUAAAAAAAUCCAGGGGUCGGAACAGAUAAGCGCUUUUUCAGUGUUUUCAAUACCUCGAGUUUCGCGAUCCUCGAGUUUAGCGCUAUACCUUCGGAACGAAGCGAGCACGAAACUAGAGAGGGUACUGUAUACAUAUUUUGUUAUGGUUAUUGACAUUGACUUUUUUAUUUAAUUAAAAAAGUGUAUUAUUUUUAUGCAAUAAUAUCUCCAUCGUUUAAAAAGAAAAUGCAUUAUAUUAUAACCCAGAGACUUAAAAAGUCGACAUUCAUUUUAGCCCAGCGGUUGCUGUAAACACUAGAACUGGGGCCUGGCGGGCGGGAACAAGUCUUAGACAACGAGAUUAUAGUUUGCGUAUUUUCCACCUAUAUUAAGCUACUGUGACAGCAAGUCAAAGGAUGUGGAAGAGAGCAGUGUGGCUGGAGAGCAAAAAAGAAGAGGAGUGUGUGGUACCAUCUGCCUGGAUAGUUGAAAGCAGCCAGAUUUUAUAUUGGCCAUCAAAAGUUGAUGCUCACAAUGCCUUAACUAGUCGAGAAGACCCAGUGCCCGUAUCAUGGAGAAAAUUUCCAUUGCUAAAGUAAAAAUAGCUUCUGACAGUUACGAGGAAUGUGAGCAGCACCAGCUGACAUCAGCAGUAGACAGUGACAGAAGCAGCAGUGACCUGGAUGGGGAAGACGGUUUGACCUUGCAUGGUAGGAGGAAAUGUAUGAAGAAAGCUCUGCCAAAGGACUUUAUUAGUAGUCAGGACUUGGAUU
Long non-coding RNA from Eriocheir sinensis (Chinese mitten crab), 1024 nucleotides. RefSeq lists it as uncharacterized. The transcript is spliced from 3 exons. Lineage: Eukaryota; Metazoa; Arthropoda; Malacostraca; Decapoda; Varunidae. The record is from RefSeq and is a predicted model, not a curated record.